GAACAAUAUAUCCAGGUAAGCAUCAUGGAACACAGUGUGACAGGCCAGAGGAGCCACAUGUGCCAAGUUGAUGGUGUGUAUGGUUUAGAGGCGAAAGAGGCAAAUCCAAGGCGGAGAUGAUAAAUAGACUCGGGUGUGGUUAGGUGCGUUAGAUGCACCACAUAGGGUGAUUCUUCUUUCCUUCUCAGUGAUUUUUCAUAUAAGCUGUCACUAGAUUUGUCCAUUGUGCCAUAGAUGUAAUCAUAAAAUGGCAUAAACAACGAGUAAUUGGUUCUAAACUGUACGUGGUGCAGCGAGUGAAACCUGUCCAGUAUUCACAAAAUAUAUUCAUACUCUUACAAGGUGUUAUUAUCAUUAAUUAUUAUGCUUAAGGAAAGCAGGCUAAUUAAAUAAUUAAUAGUGAUUAAUAUUUUAAAAAUAAUCUAAAAUUAAAGAAAUAAAAAAGAAAACCUUAAAUUAACAAAAAAAAAAGAAGAAAAACGGCAGAACUUUAUCGCUAAAACUAAAUAAAAACUUUAAAAAGUAAAAACGAAAAUCAAAUUAAAACUACAAACUAAAAAUAAAUAAAUAAAAAGACUUUGACUAGGGGUGAGCAAAACUUGAUUCGACUCGAAAAAAUCGAAAAAAAAUUCGAAUUUCGAGUUAAACUAAUUGAGUUAUUCGAGUUAAUCGAGUUAUUCGAAUCAACUCGAAUUUUUUUUCGAAUUUCGAGUUUGAAUCGAGUUGAGUUUUCGAAUUCGAGUUAUUCUGUAGUAAUUUUAAUUUUACUUUAAAUAAACCUACAUAAAUAUACUUAAUCUUUGGUUGCCUUCAAAAUACUUGUAUCUUAACCCAGAUAGAAUAAAAUUGUGGACAACAAAUAUUUUUACCCAAAUUAUCUUAUUUGUUUAUAAUUUGCUUGUAGCAUACACUGUAAUUGAUAAGAUAGCAAGUAUAAUGCAUGAAUAAAAUAAAAAUAUUAUCAUAAUACUCCUGUCUUAAAGCAAGACAGUCUUCACAAAAUAAAGUAUCGUAGGUAGGCAUUUAAUUUAAAAUUAUUUAAUUGAGUUAGAGUGAAAGGAAGGGCUUACGAUGGAGUAUAAAUGAUGUAUUGAGAGGAGGGAGAAGGGUGAAGAGCCAUUAGGAAUAAGCUCGAAAUUGCAGUGGCCCAUAUUGUUCAUAAAGUCCAGGUAAGUGACGUAGGCAGCUAAGGCAAUAACGGAGACGGUACCAGUUAGCACCGUUGUCAAGAUGGGUAUUGAAAAAGGAGGAAGUAUGCUAUGGCUCUGCAAAUGGAUGAAUCACAGCUGCCACAGCCACAGAUGGUUCAGUACCAUAACCAUGUGGAUUGAUGAUUAAAUUACGUACGUAGGUGAUGAAGUCUUACAAGUCGAGAGUAAAGAUAAUGGUGAUGCAGUGCUCUAUGAAGCCAGUAGUAAAGGAACUCCACAGGGCCGGCAUGGAGCAACAUGGUUAUAAUCACACCAUCCAAUCUCCAAAAGGGUAAGUGUGAACCUCCUGGAACGUAGAUGUUGCCCAAGUAAAACAGGAUUGCGUUGAACAUUAUUUGAUCAUCCCUGCAUGCAGCCAUUAAUUAAUUAAUUGUCGUCAUUGGGUAAUUAAAAAAAAAAAAGAUUUUUUGUUGCUCAUAAAAUAAAAAUAUUAUCAUAAUACUCCUGUUCUUAAAGCAAGACAGUCUUCACAAAAUAAAGUAUCGUAGGUAGGCAUUUAAUUUAAAAUUAUUUAAUUGAGUUAGAGUGAAAGGAAGGGCUUACGAUGGAGUAUAAAUGAUGUACUUGAGAGGAGGGAGAAGGGUGAAGAGCCAGUUAGGAAUAAGCUCGAAAUUGCAGUGGCCCAUAUUGUUCAUAAAGUCCAGGUAAGUGACGUAGGCAGCUAAGGCAAUAACGGAGACGGUACCAGUUAGCACCGUUGUCAAGAUGGGUAUUGAAAACAGGAGGAAGUAUGCUAUGUGCUCUGCAAAUGGAUGAAUCACAGCUGCCACAGCCACAGAUGGUUCAGUACCAUAUAACCAUGUGGAUUGAUUGAUUAAAUUACGUACGUAGGUGAUGAAGUCUUACAAGUAAUAGGCUCAGUGACAAUGGAGGAAUGAUGAUGAGAAUGGUAUCGAGAGUAAAGAUAAUGGUGAUGCAGUGCUCUAUGAAGCCAGUAGUAAAGGAACUCCACAGGGCCGGCAUGGAGCAACAUGGUUAUAAUCACACCAUCCAAUCUCCAAAAGGGUAAGUGUGAACCUCCUGGAACGUAGAUGUUGCCCAAGUAAAACAGGAUUGCGUUGAACAUUAUUUGAUCAUCCCUGCAUGCAGCCAUUAAUUAAUUAAUUGUCGUCAUUGGGUAAUUAAAAAAAAAAAAGAUUUUUUGUUGCUCACCAGUCCCUCUCCCUGUCCACUUGGUCAAAUUCAAUGCCCUUGUCCACAAUCUUGUUGGUGCCUUUGGCAGUUCGAUAACGAGAAAGGCUAAUCCAUAGUUGGUUAUGAAGCAUUCUCCAUAACACAAAUGGGAAUAAGGCCAGCUUGGACACGUCUAUAUCUUCAUCCUUCACCAUAAACGAGUAUAUGUGCUCCGUUAUCAAAGGAACUAGGAUUAUAUACUGUAAAAAUCCAUCAAACCACAAAUUAAAAUUUUUAAAAAAAAGAACUGGUAAAAUUAAAAAAUGAAAUCAACAAGACCUUAAAGCUCCCAAGAGGCUUCCAUGGCCAGUCAGUGAGGAUUCCUGGUUUAGAAGCCAUGCUUAAGUAGCUAUAUAGCAUCUACACUUGCAAAUGUCUUUGGAAGUGGAUAUUAUAUAUAGUAUUGUGAGUGUAAAGUUUUUACCCUUACAGAUUGACACGUUAUGGUGGCCCUUUCUUUAUCAAGAUUUAAGUCAUCCGAUCGACAACUCAUCCAUUUAUUGUGCCCAACUGUAAGUCUCAGCUGCUCCUGCUUUAUCAAUUAAAUGGAGACCUAAUAUGUUGUUAAUCUUAAUAUUGCUAAUUUUUUCUGUCUAACAUAAAUUUUCCGAAGCUCGGAGCAGUGGCAAUUAAGUGAUAAUUUAGUUAUAAUUUGAUUAAGUCAGAAAUAGAAGAUUAUCAGUAUUAUAAGACAAUGAAAACAGAUACUGAAGGCAACGGGAAAAGUCUUUGCUUUGAGAAAAAAAUAAAUCCGGAAUAUCGACUAAAUUGCAAAAGGGUGAAAAAAAAGGGUCUAAAGUGAGAAAAUUAAAAGAUAGAAUAAUUAAAUUGAAUUAUGGAAAGAGGAGGGACUAGAGGUGCAAAUAAACCAAAAAGAAGUAUGAAUCAUACAUGAAAUUUGUAGAUUUAAUUUAUUCCACUGUAACUUCAGGGAGAUAAGACUUGCUAUGGUAGAUUUAAUCCGACCUACUGCAACUUCAGAGGUAUAGGACUUGUCGUUUCAAUCUGCUCCACUGCAACUUCAGGAAGAUAAGAUUUGUAAUUUGUAGCUUUAAUUUGUUCCACUGCAACUUUCAGGGAAAUAAGAUUUGUGACUUCAAUCUACUCCACUGCAACUUUAGAGAGAUAAGAUUCACCAUGGUAACUUCAAUCCAUCCCACUGCAACUUCAGGGGUAUAGAAUUUGUGGUUUCACUGAUUUGUUACAUUGUUCUCUAGGGAACAUGACAUAUAGAAUCCAUUUCAUGGGCUUAUAUUUAUGCCAAACGGUUAGGAUGUUAUGAUCAAAAUGAAUCAAAUACUCCUAAUAACUAGAUAGGUGAAUUGAUAUAGUUUUAAAUAUGGAAUGGGUAGUUAAAAAUGCAAAGUAGAUAGGUGAAUUGAUAUAGUUUUAAAUGAUGAAGCAAAUAGGACUAAAUGGACAAAAGGUGAAAGACUAAUUGGGCAAAUUAACCCAAACUGAAAAGAAAUCACAUAAUGACAUUUUGGUAUUGAAAUCAAAGGUCGAGUAUCGAUACUUUGAAAAAAGUAUAGAUACUUAGAGCAAAGUAUCGAUAUUUGAGGUAUUUUUCUUAAAUUUUUCAACUUUGAAGCUCAAAACGAUGUCAAUACAACAUAGGGCAUCGAUACCUAAGUUAUAGUAUGGAUACCUUAGUGGUGGUAUCGAUACUUGGGGAUUGUUUUGUGUAAAAUGUGAUUCUGAAAUAAAUUUUUACAGAACAGUUCUACGUAUUAUGGAAAUAACACACUAAUAAGUUCAAAAUAUGAUUGGAUAAGGGUUUGGAUUAAAUGAUUUAGCCAGGAUUACUCCGGCACUCAAAUGUCAUAUUUCUAUACUCAACUUGGUAGUCGGGUUGGGUAUAGGAGUAUUAGAUGGAAAUUCGAUAAAAAAUAAAAAUAUUAAAAAAAAUAUUUUCUCAGCAUAAACUCUGUUGCUAAUUGCAAUUAGUUGUAAACAUCUGAAAAAAAAAAAGAAGCUUUCCAUGUCGGCUAAGCCAGCACGAUCGCAAUUAAUUGUCUCCAAACUCCAGUUCUAUGGAACACAAAACAAUUGCAAUUGCUUUCUUUAACACAAGUUGCGUUUGAAAUAUUAAUUGUUGGUUUCCAGUUCCGCGGUGGUAUUGAUUACCAAUGAACAAGAUAAGAUGGUCCAAAAAAAAACAGAAAGGAAAGGAAUAUAUCCCCCGCACCAAACACAAAAUAAGCUUUUCAUUGCUCAUAUUAUUUGUUAUCCAGAUGCUGGUUUCCUCGACACUUAGCUUAGCUCCUCAAAUUUCAACCCCCUCCCCAGAGCUUUAAACACACAAGUUGAAGCAUAGAGCCUAUUGUUUGUAAUCGCGGUAUGGUACGAGAAGUAAAACAGCAAAAAAUAAUUAAAAUUGGAAGUUCCUUUUUUUUUUUUAAAUUGACAAUAUUUUUGAAUUUUUAAGUAUUAAUUUUAAAAAAUUAUAACUUGAUUCAUAUAAUAUCUAAAAGUUAAUACCUUUACACAUUUAAUGACAUUUUAAGGAAAUGGAAAAAGAAUUAUAAUUAAAUAACCAAAGUUAAGGUCAAUAGUUAAUUGAUCUAAAUUUAAAAAGAAAAUGAUAAAUAGGUGAUAAAAAAGAAUUAGAUGACUUGUCGUCUCGUUUACGCUAAACAAAUUUAAUACUCCGUAGACAUUUUUUUUGCGUUUAGAAUAACAUUUUACUUUUUAAGAUUUGUGUUUUUCUAUGAGAACUUUUGAUCUAUUUCUUUACCACUUAUUUGACAAUGCAACGGGCAAUUUACCAUUAAAAGUUUUUUUUUAAUUUACCGAAAUAGAUCCGGUAUUUUAUUAUUUACCGAAAUAGACCCUGUAUUUUAUUAUUUAUUGGAAUUGGCCCAUUCCGGUAUUUUAUUAUUUAAUGUAUUAAAGCCUUUACCACGUCAGCGCAAUGUCAGGGGACGUCUCAGCAAAUCGCGUCCACGUCAGCGCUGUUUGCUGACGUGGCAGAAAAUCGCGUCCACGUAAUCGCGGUUUGUGUCUACGUCAGCAAAGCGCGCUGACGUGGACGCGAUUUGCCCCGCGUGUGAACAGUGCAACGGUCAUUUUUUUUACCGUUGCCCCCCCAACGGUCCAAAAAAAACUAUAAAUACCCCCACCUCUUUUUUUUCACAAACUAAUCCUCUCUCAAAUUUCCUCUAAAUUUCCUCUCAUUUUGCUCUCAAAUUCCUUUCAAAUUUCUCUCAAAUCCAUAUUUAAUCUCAUUUGCUCUCAACUUCCUCUUAAAUUUCUCUUAAAUCCCUAUUUUUAAAUAUUUUUAAAAAAAAUUAUUGUUUUUAAAUUUUUUUAAACCGUAAAAAUUUGUACGAUUUCAGCAAUGGCCGGAGAAUUGACUCGUCUUGAUAAGCAGCAUAUAUCGGUGGAACAAAUGAAAAUGGUAAGUGUAAUACCCAAUUUUAGCCCGGGCUCACAUAUGGAAACAUAAUUUUCGAGGAUAUACAAUCUUAGAUAUGAUAUGCAAUCUUAAAUAUGAUAUAUACAAUCUUAGAAGAUAUGAUUUUAUAAUCUUAGAGAUUUAAUUUGUAGAUACCCUUUAAUCUUAGCCGUUAAUGUAAUUGAUCUGUACCGUUGGAUUUGGGGAGGCUCAGCUAUAAAUAGAGGCCUCUCCCUUCAUUGUAGAAAGAAAAAAGAAUCAAGAAAAAAGGAAGAACGAUUGGCAGUUUUUUAAAGGUGGCUUACUGUUUUAUUUUUUUUCUUUUUCGAUUAUUUUUUACUUAUUUACGAUUUUAAAAAAGGGUGAAGGUGAUACCAAUGCUAAUUUUAUUUAUUUAUUUUAUUUAGCCCUAAUAAAGUGACGCGUUUCAAAGGAUGGAAAUAUUUUCUCAUUCAAGCCCUAUGAGUUAUUUGCGCCUUUUAAUUGGGCCCUUCAUUAUUUUUAUUCUGUUGAUUUUCAAUUUAAUCCUUAAUCUUUCAUUUUAGGUUUUUAGUCUAUUUUAUUAAUUUUGUUAUUUUUAUUUUUAUUAUAUUAUAUAUUAUUAUUAUACCUACAUAUAUGUGCGCAUAUGCAUGUUAAUAUAUAUACAUAUAUAUAUUUUAAACGUUUUAAUAUAUAUACAUAUUAUAUACAUACUUUAUUAUUAUUUUAUUUUCAUAUUUUUUUAUACAUAUAUAUAUACACAUUUAUAUUUCAUAAUAUUUAUGCGUUUGCCCAUAUUCUAUGAUUUUUAUAUGUUUAUACAUUUUUGUAAUAUAUACACAUAUUUAUACUCCAUUCAAAGCUUAUUAUAAAUAUUUUCCACAUUUUUAUAUUAUACUUAUAUAUUUCAUUUUUUUUGCAAAUGCAUGAAUAUAUUUUAUAUGUAUAUAUUUAUAUUUUCCUUGUUUUCAUAAAUGCAUUAUGUAUUAUAUAUAUAUAUAUAUAAGUUUUAUAACCCAAAAUUUUAUGAGUAAAUUAUCUUUAUGUCUUUUAUUCUUCAUAGUUUCAAAUGUAUAUCUAUUUUGUACCUUUUUCUCUUUAUUUUUUUUAUUUAUUUCCUUCAUUUGCUUAUCGAUGUAUGUUUUCAUUUAUAUUCAUUUGAUAUUUUACAUGUCGUUGUUUAUGUACAUUAAUUUCGUUUAUUUCUAUGUCAUUGUUGUAUUUAUUAUUACAUUUUAUAUUUAAUGUAGCAUCACAUCAUUUUUUUUCGAUUUUAAAAUUUUCAAAAUUGAGAUAACACUCGUAUUUAGGAUUUUCAAGGAAAUUGAGCCCUAACGUAUUAGGUUCCGAUUUUCUUCGUUAAAUCCAACGAUCGAGGGUUGCUCAUUAAUAAAAAAUAUAUAAAAUAAAAAGCUUGUUGUUGGGGAGUUAAAUAUGUUGUAUCCUAACGUAUUGGAUGUGACGUAUUGAUUUCUCGAGACAAAGAUUUUUUGAAAAAAUAAUAAUAAAGGAAAUAUUUCAAGUUUGGGAUUUUGAGGAAUUGUGCCCUAACGUAUUGGGCCGCGAUUUCUUAAAUCUUAAACAAAUGAAUAUUCUUUUAAAUUUUUAUUACACGAGUUUUAGACUAAUUCAUUUUUGAGGAAAUUAAAAUGUUGUGCCCUAACGCAUUGGGUGUGACAUUUUCUUUCUCCGAAAUGAUAAGGGUCUUAAUAAGUAACGUUUUUAAGUUUUUUUCUAAGGAUUAUAUUUUUCAAAUUUUCGACAUUAAGACACUAAUUAAUUAACUAGGUACCAAUUUUGGGCGUUAUGAGGGUGCUAAUCAUUCCUCGUACGUAACCGACUCUCGGAUCCAUUUUUCUAAAACUCGUAGACCAAAACCGUUUUUUUAGGUGAUCCAAUCACACCUCAAUAAAAGAUUGGUGGCGACUCCCAAUUUUCAAUUUUUUAAAGUCGACAACGUAAAACGUUUGUUUUUCAAAAGAAUGGUUUCGACAGUAAGCGUUAAAUUUAAUUUUUAAAUAUUAUUUAAGAAUUUUUUAAUUAUGCAUUUUUAGAUAAUUAUUAAUUUAUUAUUUGUUAUAAAAGUCUGUAGAUCAAAUAUUGGAAUGCAAUAUCCGGAAUAUGCAUGCUCCUCCAUCACCGUUUGUAGAGAACUACCUGCGGGAAGCGGGUUUUUGGCACGUGGAGACGGUAGGCCGGGGAUGCAAGGUGGACCCGAAACUAAUUAGUGCAUUGAUCGAGAGGUGGAGACCCGAGACGCACACAUUCCAUUUUCCAUGUGGAGAGUGCACUAUCACUUUGGAAGAUGUAAGUCUGCAAUUGGAAUUUCCGGUGGACGGUACCCAGUCACUGGGUCUGCCUAAUCUAGCGAUUGAGGAGCGGUGUGCUACGAGCUUUUGGGUGCUAUUCCGGAGAAAAUGGACGGAGGUAAGAUCGAGAUGGGCUUGUUACAAGACACAUUCCUGGAUCCGGAUGAAGAUUCAACCGAAAUAGAAAGAAUCUGAUAUGCUCGGGCAUACAUUCUUCAGUUAAUUGGAGGUUAUCUGAUGCCGGACUCGUCACGAAGCCGCGUACUUCUAAGAUGGCUGCUGAAACUCGUUGAUUUUAGAACAGCUGGUGAAUUGAGUUGGGGGUCUGCCAUCUUGGCAACGUUAUAUCGGGAGAUGUGCGGGGCGACGCGACCGAGGAAAGCAAAAAUCGGAGGUUUCCUAUCACUACUGCAGUCAUGGGCACGGUUUUGCUACGUCCUCGAGUGGACCACCCAUAUAAAUUCCCACUCAUAACGAGGUAAAUCCGGAUGAGUUCUUACAAAAUUCAAACGCUUGGCACACAAAAGUCGCGUUGAUCAACUACGCGACCGUGGAGAUGCACCAGUCAGACAGGGUGUUACGGCAAUUUGGAUGUAGACGACCGAUUCCUGUGGAACCUGAGGUGUUUGACGAUCACCACAAAAUUGACCUUCGGCAAUUGAAUACGGAUUGGCCGAGAUUUUGGUCCGAGUACAUCCAAAUGUGGGAAGAUCGGUAUGAUUAUAUACCUACUAAGGAAUCGAUCAUCGUUCCGGAGUUAGCGUGCGUGCCGAAAUGCAUGCCAUUCAAAUGAUGCCAGGUACGUUUUCUAGCCCUUUUAUGUAUCCUAACCCUUAUAUGUUUCCUUUUCCGAGUCCUAUGGCAGGUUGGAGCCAAUGACCAGGUUCAACUCCAUUUCUUGUUACGCCGAGUGGACCGCCGAUGUAUAGGCCAGUGACGUAUGAGGGAUCGCCAGAAGGGCCGUCGGGGAGCUCUUCUUUUUGCCAAUCCCCACCACCGUAUAGGUUUCAAACAUCGUCACCGUUGGUGAUGGAAACACCUCCACAUUCACUAUUCUAUCAAGGUGGCUCAUCGUCCCAACUCUGACAACCAGAUGCCCUGCCGGAAGAAACAGGAUCCCCGCCGGAGGAACCAUAAUCGCUGCCGGAAGCUGGACAAAUAGAAAUUUGUAUUUAAAUUUAUUUUUACAAAUAUUUUGAAUAUUUUGAUAUUAUUUGAUGUAAUAAAAUAGAAAUUUGUUUGAGUUAAUACUUAAAAACAUUAAACUAAUUUAUUAAAAAUUUAUAAAUUUAUAAUUUAUAAGGCAGACGGGAAGGACAACCCUGAAACCCUGGAACAGAAACAACGCAACCCGAACCCGAACGGACAAACCCGAACGCGGAACUUAAAAAACCCUACACCCUUAACGUGAACUACCGAACCCUGGGUGGAUCAAAAAAAAGACCGCACCCUGAACGUUAAAAACUUAACCCGUAACUUCAAAACCCUAAACCUUAACUUAAAUAACCCGAAACCUUAACCCGAAACUCCUAACCUUGAAAUUUAAAAAUUUAAACCCUCAAACCCUAAUCCAUAAAUUAAAACUUAUAACCAUUAACAUAAAAACCUUAAACCCUUAACAUAAAAACCUUAAACCCUUAAAUUAAAAGCCCUAACCCUCAACUUUAAAACUCUAAACCCUUAAAUUAAAAACCCUAAGCACUUAACUUUAAAACCCUAAACCCUUAACCUAAAAAACGUAACCCUUAACUUAAAAACCAUAAACCUUUAAAUUAAAAAAUAAAAACCUUUAAUUAAAAAUUCUAAACCUUAAAACCAUAAACCCUUAAAUUAAAAACCUUAAGCCCUAAAACUUUAAAACCCUAAAUCCAUAAAUUAAAAACCCUAACUUUUAACUUAAAAACCUUACACCCUUAACUUAAAAACUCUAAACCCUUAAAUUAAAAACCCUAACCCUUAACUUUAAAACCCUAAACCCUUAAUUUAAAAACUGUAACCCUUAAAUUAAAAACACUAACACUUAACUUUAAAACAUUAAACCCUUAACUUAAAAAUCGUAACCCUUAAAUUAAAAACUCUAACCUUUAACUUUAAAACCCUAAACCCUUAACUUAAAAAUCAUUUCUCUUAAAUUAAAAACCCUAAACCCUUAACUUUAAAAUCGUAACCCUUAAAUAAAAAACCCUGUCACUUAACUUAAAAACCCUAGCCCUUAACUUAAAUAUAAUUUAAUAAUUUUACUAACCAUUAAUACAAUUAUCAGCUAAUAAUUUUACAUUCACAUAACGUUAGAUUUGGAAAAAUGUUUUGACUGGUACUAACAAUUAAUAAUUUGAUAUAAUUUGAUAAUUUUACUAACAAUUAAUACAAUUAUCAAUUAAUAAUUGAAAAAAUAUAUUUUUUUUACAAUUACAUUCAACUAUUGAGAUUAGGGCAUGAUCGACUUGUAUGGCCUGGAUUCCUACACCAUCCGCACAACUUUUGUUGACUGGUUGUUUCUCGGAUAUCCAUAUUGUUGCGUAUUCUAGUCGAGCAAGGUUGACCCUUUGGUUUGUGACACAAUUCUCUAUCCGGUAACAGCUUAAAAGGGGCAAGAGAUACGGGCGGCCACUUACGUUCAUCUGGGAUCGGUGGGAAAACGUGUCUCCAGACCUUGUACAUGUUUUCUAAUUUGUACACUUUGUCCACAUAGCUCAUCGGAUCCAGACGGAGAUUCUGAGAAGCUGCAAUAACAUGAGUGCAUGGAUAACGAAGUGCAUCAAACAUCCCACAGUCGUAAGUCCUAUUUCGCAAGUGUACACGAUAUUGCCCGCCAACAACACAUUGGUGCGGUCUGUCAAACUCUGCCACGCGAAACCAUAAGUUGUCUCAAUCGUGACAUACUGUGUGCAUGGUGUUUGCCCGCGUCUUGGCCUUGUUAAUUUCUUGAACUACCUUACUGCACCAUACAUGGCCUCCCUGCAUCUGGCCUGCAUAACUUGCUGCUCGCUUUGGAAAUAACGCUGCCAAAUGAAAAUAUGUCUCUCGCACAACUGAUGUUAUCGGUAGAUGACGUGUUUCUUUAAGGACAGAAUUUAUGCAUUCAACCAGGUUUGACGUCAUAUGGCCAUAUCGUAGGCCGCCGUCGUAUGCUUGUGCCCACUGUUUGAAACGUAUGUUACAAAGGUAGUCCGCUCCGUCUCCGUUAAUUAAACGUAAAAUUGCAAACAUCUCGUGAAAACGGUCUUUAUUUAUUUCAUACACUGCUAAUAUAAGUUCAUAGCGAAUAUUACAUACCACUUCUUCAUUUAUAACUAAUUCAAAUUGACAAACGAAAGAACACAGAUAGAGACUAAAUACCUAUGUUGGUCACUUGUCAUCGUUCGCUCUUAGAUGGAUAUUGCCUGUAGUAGUUGGAAGCAACGUGCCUUAGGCAAUAUCGAUGGUGUGUGCGCCGUCAUAAGCUUCUCUGUCGAUCAAAUACAGCUAGUAUACCGGUGCCCCGAUCUAAAAUAACACAGAUAUCAGGUUGAGGGCACAUAUGCCUCCUUAACCUAGAGAGAAAGAAAUUUCAGUCAUCAGAUGACUCCCCCGGUGUUAUUGCAAAUGCAAUUGGAAGAAUUCUCCCACCGUCAUCCUGUGCCACUGUAAGAAAUAGCCGAUGAGUAUACCUACCAAACAUAAAGGUACCGUCAAUUUAUACCAAUGGCUUGCACUAUGGAAAUACGUCUCGGCAUUGGUUAAAGGUCCAAAACAGGUGUUUGAACACUCGGCAUCCACGUAGCAAUCGGCCGUUGUAGUACGCAUGUUCCGUUUCAAAGUCUGUGAUGGCACCUGGGACGUAUCUCUCUAACACUUAACACCACUGCCAUAUUUCAUUAUAUGAGGCAUCCCAUCCACUAUGCAUCUUCUCCAACGUCUUUGGCUUAGCUAUCCAAGCCUUGCGGUAAGAGGGCGUGUACCCCAUUUGGCUACGGAUAUUGGCAAUUAACACUAGCACUGAAGUCUUGGGAUCUACUUUUAUCGUGGGCAGUAUCAAGCUAGCUAACAUAGCUGAAUCCAUCUUGGGAUGAUCUUGUGAAAUAUCUAUAAACGGAGUACAUUAAAUAAUGCAACAUUACAUAAUAAAAGUAUUAUUCAGAAACUGUCAAUACUGUACCUACAGCACAUGUAUGUGGACCUUUGUACUUUUUAAUCUCCCAUAACCCUGUCCUUUUCCUUAACGAGGCGUAGAUUUUCCAUGAACAUGUGCAGUCUUGCACCGCACACUUCGCCUCAAACUUAUCAGAUUUGGAUUUAACGACGUGGUAGUUAACGCCUUUUUUGAUGCUAUGUUGUUUCAAAGCACCAAUAAAACUAUCCUUGUUGGUAAACUGAUUACCAACUUCAAAUUCACCCGAAUCUAGCCCUGAACUUGUACGAUCACGCAACCGGUGUGGUAGAUCUGGAAACUCUAAUGCAUCAUCUGUAGAUAGAUCGACAUUAUGCAUGUGGGCUGGAGGUGAGUAUGCUCAGAAUCGUGGAUUUUCUUCUUCAUCUAAACUUCUUUCAGCAUCUUCAGGUUCAGCACCAUCGUGCCCGGGAUUUCGAGGUGGAUCCACAUCGGAGUCAUCUUCUAACCCAUAAUCAUCUGCAACGUAUGAGGUCCCCUUACCGGUUGACGUCGUAGGGAGUACAUCAUCCCUUAUUCUAGGCAUUUCAUAACGUCCCCAAUUGGAUGUAGAUGGUCAACCACUAGAACUUGAUGCCGUUCCCCAGUACGUAUUUUCAGCAUCAAACAUCGAGCCACUGAAGUACAUGUCUCAUGUUUUGUAACCCGCUAAUCGAAUGUCGGCCAAGAGUCGUGUAUACAUCUCGAACACCAGUCGCAAGUACAUCAGUUGGUGAUGUAAAUUGUACAUAUAACUCAAUAUAAUGUGCUUCACUUGCAAGACGAGUCUGCACCAUUGUCCCCAAGCUACGAGCACCUUUUAUGUCGAACGAGUCAUAUGUCAUCGGAUCAACAGAAGAACAAAAUCAAUACGUAAUAGACAGAACUUUCCUUGGCGUCGUUCCAAAAAUUUUAUGCCUAAUUCUUUUACGAAGUUCUGUCAAAUCUAUGUUCUGGUUAAAAACCAGUCGUACCGUAUUCUCCAACAAAAAAACAACACCAUUCUCGAUAUGGUAAACCUCACCAUCGUAGUAAAUAACAGUACUAAUAUGUUCACUCAUAUUUGAAACUCUAACCUUCUUAGCCUCUCUAAAUUGUUUAUGCUGUGACUUAUGCAUUCUGAGAACAUUUUUUGCCUCAUUUAUAGCCUCAGCCCAAACAUGCUAUUAUAGCCAAAGCGUGACCACGUGGGUGCGAUUUCACAAAUUCUUCUCAUAUAGCAUCCUGCUAGAAGUGAUUUUAUACUAUUUUCUCAGAAACGUCAAGUCGAAAUUAUUCUUCUAGGACCUACUGUAGCAAAAGUGCGUCCACAAGGGCGCGAUUUCACAAAUUCUUCUCAAAUAGCAUCCUACUUGCAGCGUUGUUUUAUACUAUUUGCUCAGAAACGUUAAGUCGAAAUUAUUCUUCCAGGACCUACUGCAGCAAAAGCGUGUCCACGUGGGCAUGAUUUCACAAAUUCUUCUCAAAUAGCAUCUUUCUUGCAACGUUGUUUUAUACUAUUUGCUCAGAAACGUCAACUCAAAAUUAUUUUUUUCAGGACCUACUGUAGCAAAAGUGCGUCCAUGUGGGCGCGAUUUCAAAAAUUCUUCUCAUAAAGCAUCCUGCUUGAAGCAUUUUUUUAAACUAUUUGCUCAGAAACGUCAACUCGAAAUUAUUUCUUCUAGGACCAACUGUAGCAAAAGCGCGUCCACGAGGGCGCGAUUUCACAAAUUCUUCUCAUAAAGCAUCCUACUUGAAGCGUUUUUUAAACUAUUUACUGAGAAACGUCAACUCGAAAUUAUUUUUCCAGGACCUAAUGUAACAAAAGAGCGUACACAUGGGCGCGACUUCAAAAAUCCUUCUGAUAAAUCAUCCUGCUUUGAUUUUAUCUUAAAAACCCAUAAACACGAAACGUAAUCCAAUUUUGAAUAUAUUUUAUUUUAUUUAAUUACAAAACCCUAAACUUUAAUCCCUUAUUUAUUUACUUUUUUCUCCAAAACCCUAAAAAUCUUAACCCGAGAAACACGACAAAAUCACGUCCACAUGGGCGCGCUACCUGGCAGCAAAUCGCGUCUACGUCAGUGCGCUUUGCUGAUGUAGACAUAAAGCGCGCUUACGUGGACGCAAUUUGCUGCCACAUCAGCAAAUCAUGCUGACGUGGACGCAAUUUGUUGACACAUCCCCUCACAUCGCGCUGAUGUGGACGCGAUUUAAAGGAAAAUGGCCCAUUCCGGUAAAUAAUAAAAUAUCUGGCCCAUUUGGGUAAAUUUAAAAAAAAUGGAUUUUUUGGUAUUUUUCCCCAAUGCAUCAAUUGUAAAAUAAAUAUGAAAUAAAAUUCAAUAAAUUAGGAUUUAUGAUGUCAAAUUAUUAAGAACAAAUUAAGAAUAAAAUUAGAUGCGAAAGUACUUGAUAUCUAUGGAUCUUGUGGUUUUGAUCUUUCAAAUUAGCACACAAGUACUUUAGAGAAUGUGACUUUCUCUUUUCUAAAGAUGAGAUAUUAAAAAAGUUACGUAUAUGUAAUUUGGAGACCAUAACCCUAAUAUAUAACUUUUGCACAUUAACCCUAAUUUCUAAUCAGCCCAUCAUCAAUUAGAAAUUAAUUAUUAGAGUCUUUACACAUAUUUAACUCAUACUUUAUUUAAUAAUUAAAGUCCAAUAAACCUUAACCAAAUUAGAUCACUUUUAAUUUGGGCUAACCUUUUAUGAUAGUAAAUGACAAUAUGUAAUUACUAUUGUUAUACAUGUGAUGUCCAUAUUUUCCAACAACCUCUCACUAGGACCACAUAUAUAUACUAAUUACUCUAUAAUUACAUGUCAUUAUAUAAUUUUAUGAGCUCCAAACUUUACUAUCAUAUCCAAAAAAGUAUUUUGAACAACAUUGUCCAUUAAUUAUGUUAACAUAGAACCAAUGUGAAUUUCGUUACAUAUAUCGUAACUAAAUCCAUCCCUGAUCACGUAUAUUAACACAACCAAGUAGCAUGGAAAUUACAUGCAAUAUGAUCAAAAUAUGCCUAUUUCCAACUGGUCCUCCUUAACCUUUGUCAGAUCAAACUUUACCAAAAUCAAAGUGUAAAUAAACCAAAUAAAUUUUAUUUCUGCAGAAAAUAAACUUAAUAUUUAUAAACUGAAAUAAUUGAAAAUGUAUCUAUAACAUAAAAACAUUUAAAAAUACAAAGUCCCACUAGAACCAAAUAUCCUUAAAUGAUAUUACACCUAUAUAAGUAGUGUGCUCAUGAAAAACCUUGGGUGGUAGCCCCUUAGUAAACGGAUCCGUAAUCAUGGAGCUUGUGCUAGUAUGCUUUAUAGACACCUGAUCACUCUGAACUCUUACUUUAACAACCAAGAAUUUAAAGUCUAUGUUUUUUAACUUUGAUGUGCUCCUAUUUUUAUUGGAAUAAAAGACUGUAAUUUGUUUUCACAAUUUGCACCUUAGUGAUAAAAUAUUGUAUCCAUAUUCCAUCAAAAUCAGAGUUUGUAUACCUGAUAUCUUUAACUUAUCAGACCUCCGAUAUGUGAGCAUGUAAUCUUUUAUUCUCUGAAGAUACAUCAUAACUCUCUUAGAUGCUAUCCAAUGGUCCAAACUGGGGUUGCUUAAAUAUCUAGCUAACAUCCCAACAAUGUAUGAAAUAUCCGGACGCGUACAUACUUGAGUAAUGAGGAAGAUGUAGCUAGUGCUAAUUUGACUAACGAAAGUGGUGAUGAUUUCUUGUUAGUGUCAACGAGCAAUAUCUCUGAGCUUACGUCUGGGUGGAUCCUAGAUUCGCUAUGUUCUUUCCACAUGUGUCCCAAUAGAGAAUGGUUCUCCAUAUAUAGUUCGGUUGAAGGUGGAUUUGUGCGUAUGGGGAACGAUUCAUCUAGUAAGGUAAUCGGUAUUGGUACUGUUACAAUUAGGAUGCAUGAUGGGACGACUAGGACACUUUCAGAUGUCAGGUAUGUACCUGAUUUACGAAAGAACCUCAUCUCCUUGAGUAUUUUAGACUCGAAAGGUUGCAGAAUCAACAUCGAUUCGAGAAAUAUUAAGGUGUAUCGUGGGGCUCUCGUUUUGUUAAAAGGUAAAAGGAUCAGCCAUCUUUAUAUUCUGGAAGGUUCUAUAGUGACUAGUGAAAUCGGACGUCCCUUGUCUGUUACGAAGUUGAAGUCAACUCGUUUGGAGUGGAGGCAACUUGGUCAUACGAGGGAAAAAUGUAUGACCAUUUCAUUGAAAAGAUGUUCUAUUUUGGAUGCAUGUUUUAAAAAUUUAGGGCACUGUGUUCGUAAAAAUCAGACCUGGGUUAGUUUUGAUUUGGCAGUGCACAAAUAGAAGGCUAGAAGUCUUCCAGCUUUUAAGCACAGAUUCGAUUUAGUUAAUUUCCUGCAUAGUUCAAGAUAGGCCCGUGGCGGGCUUUGGCAAAGAUGGUGUUUGUGGAAAUACAAGUCAAGGUGGAGAUUUUUUGAGUAUGACUUAUAUUUCAGUCAAAUUUGAGAGAUAAUCUCCUAGUUAAACUAUGUUUAUUUGUUUCUGCCAAACUCUAAUUAGUCUAGAUUGUAGAAACCAUUUUUUUUUAAAUGGGGUCGACUUGGAUUUCGAAAAAGUAAAUUGAAAACGAAAAAAAAUGGGAGUCGCCACCAAUCCUUUUUAUUUAGGUGUGAUCGGAUCACCUCAUAAUUUAAUCAUUUUAAUAAAAGUUUAAAUUUAUUAAAACGAUAAUUUUUUGUCUAUAAAAUCCAGAAAAAGGGGUCCAGGAGUCAGUUACAUACGAGGAAGGAUUAGCACCCUCGAUAUGCCCAAAAUUGGUACCUAGUUGAUUACUUAAUGUCUUAAUGUCGAAAGUUAAAAUUUUGAAAAGAUUUUGAAAUAGGAUCCUCUUUUAUUAAUGUUGAUUUUAAAACGCUUGAAUUAAAUCAAAAUGAUUGCUAAAGAUUCUCUCGUCUCGAGAUAUCGGAGUAUCACAUCCCUUAAGUUAGGACACGAUACUUUGAACUCCCGAGCACAAGUUUGUCUUUAAUUUUUAUUGAAAUUUCAUGUAUUUUGAAACUUAAAAGGAUAUUUGGCUAUUUAGGUUUAGCGAGAAAAUCAAAACCCCGUAAGUUAGCGCGCGAUUCCUCGAAUUUCCUAAAACGCGAAAUAUUGCCUUAUUUAGCAAAAUUUCCCUUUUGAAUAAUAACGGGUGCGAUAUUUGAAGGUAAGCAUUUAUCUUGUUUGGAAUAAAAUAAAGCAAUUUAAGUUGGAUAACUAUGUUGGGGUUUAAUUUGCAAUACAAUGAUGUGAAAUAAAAAUAUAAUAAUGGAUAUGGAAUAAUGGUACAUGGAUAAAAUUACACAAAUGUACGACAAUAAUAUGAGAAUACAAGUGAACGAAUUAUGGUACACACAAUGACAACAAUCACUCAACAUACAUUAUUUAAAUCCUAGUAUUAAUAAUCAAAGACGAAUGAAUUAAAUAACAUAUAUAACAAUUUCAAAAUGAGCAGCAUAAAGUAAAUUAAAAUAAAUAAAAUGUAGAACAAUUUUAAAAUGAUAAUAAAUGAGUUUUAAAUAAAUAAUAUGAAAAAUAAAUUUAAAAAUAAACUAUAUACAAAACAGUUUUGAAAUAAACAAUAUAAAUAAUUUCAAAAUAAAUAGCAUAGGAAACAGUUUAAAUUACAUAGUACAUAUAAAUUUAAAAUGGAUAAUGUAUAUACAUAUAUUCGAAAUAAAUAACAUAUAUAAAAACUUAAAAUAAAUAAUAAUAAAUCUAAAAUAGUUCAAAAUAAAAUAAUAUAUAAAAGAAAAUCCUAAAUAACAAAAAAAAAUACAAAAGCAGUUUAGAAAAAAAAACAAUAUAUAUGAAAAAAAAUGGGGCUAAAAGGUCAAGGACGUGAUUGAAAUCAGAAUAAAAUUAAGGGGGCAUAAUUAAAAAUUGCAAAAAAGGAAUAGGGGACUAAUUCGCCACAUGCUGAAAGUAUCAAGGUGCGAAAGAACAAAUGCCUGAAGUCCCUUAUGCUAUGUGUUUCGACAUGGGCCAAAAUGAAAUAAGAAGAAAUUGUGCGGAUAAACUAAAAAGAAAGAAAGUAAAAAAAUGGAUUGAAUUUAAAGCGCAAAAAACGCAGAGGGACUCUCCGCAUAAAUAACCCCCAAAGAUACCAAAAUGCACAGGUUCCCCUGCGAUUCAGGUCGGGUUGCACGAGUUCCCCCCCAAAACGACGACGUUUUGCGUCUGGGGAGGGUUCCCAAAACACUGUCGUUUCAGUGUUACAUAAAAGGGCCAAUUUUUUAAAAAAAAUAAACAGUUUGCUGCAAUAUUAGAGAAAGAAAAAAAAAACUUUUAAAAGCCUUCCCCCUCUGCUAGGGUUUCGGAUCCCUUUGGCGCCGACUUAUGAGCCACCUUGGUGGUUCGCCGCACCACCACUAUGGCCGGUGACUGACGACAAGUGACCACGGGAAGGUGGGUUCCUCCUUCUUCUCCUUCUAAAACCGUUCUGCUUUUGAUAUAUAUUGCUCAUAAAAAUGUUCAUAGAAGAGAAGACCCAUUACAAGCAUCAGAUCAAGGCUUUUAUAGCCGAUUACAGACCAUUAGUUUCUAUUCUUUUGUUUUUUUGCUACUUUUUUCCUCCGUAUUUGUGUUUGUUUGUCCUUCCUGCAGAUACGGAAGAGUCGAGCUGGCGGUACGGAGACCAACGUGGCGCAGUGGUGGUGGUGUGUGGCUAGUGGCGGCUAAGGCAAAUAGUUGCUUUAGGGUUUUUUUGUUGUUUUUAGUGUUGUGGGCUAUAAACUGGGUUUUGGUAUUGGGCUAAUUGGGUUAGGUUAGUGAGUUUUGGGUUAAAAUGAUUUGGGCUAAAAAUUGGGCUUUUAUCAUUAUAUAUUUUAUUUGGUUUUAAUAUUUGUAUAUAGGCCGAGCAAAUUUUGGGUUUGUACAUAGAUUAUUUUAUUGGUAUUUGACCUAUGAAUUUAGCCUAUAAAUAGGCUCUUUUACAACCUUAGAAAAUACACCCAUUAAAGAUUAGAACUCAUAACACUUUUGGAGAAUUUUGUAUUUACGUUUUGAGGGUUCUUUAUUUUCGGGUUUCAAGGUAAGUUUUUUAUCUCUAUAUUUUUUACUCUUCAUUCUUUUGCCAUUAUAGUAAAAUUAUCUUUGCCCAUGGGUUUUUAUCCUCUUUGGAGGGGUUUUCCCACGUUAAAUUUAUGUGUUCAAUUUCUUCAUUUCUUCCACUAUUUUUACUUGUUCGUUGCUUAAUCGGGUCGAUCCCCAACACUUAAUAUAUACUUUACCUUGCACCAAAUCAAUUAAUACAUCCAAAUAAUAUAUUAAUUUAAGCCUCAAGAAUUAAUGGUGUUCAAUCCCACAACAAUUCCCAUAGAUAAACUUCAAUUGAGCCAAAACAAUUCAUGUGGACCAAAGUUAUGUUUGAUGUAAAAAAUAUAAAAAUUACUUUCAUUGAAAUAUUUUUGCAUAUAAUAUCAUCUGAUAUAGUUAUAUAAAAAUUAAAAAUACAGGGACGAAGCUAGAAGUUUAUUUUUGAGUGGUCAAAACUAAAUUAUAAAAAUCUAAAGGAGUCAAAGUACAAUUUUAUCUUUGUACAUGCUUACUAUUUUAGAAUUUUAAAGAGAUUAAACUGAAUUUUUUAAAUCUUUGGUGGGACCAAAGGGUAUUUUUAUCAUUAAACUAACUUAUAAUUUAAAAAACUUUAAGGGGCUAAAAUGAUAAUUUUCUAUUCUAGAGGGUCAGGGCCCUUAACUACACCCUUGGCAUAGUCCCCGCACACAUAUGCAUGUAGAAAUUACAUACUUAGAACAUAGAUGUUAGUUUAAAAAUAACAUACAAUAAAUAAUGAAACGUAUGGGUUAAAAUUACCAAUUGAUAAUAACUCAUUAAAUAUGUACAAUAUUAACAUGAAAAAUAAAUAGAUUAAAUUAAAUUGUGAGUAUAAUAAAAUUUAAACAUGUAAAUACAUCAUAUGAAGAAUACUAACUGCACUAUAGUUGUUUAUCAUGGUGCUGUCAUCAAUCUUGAGUUAAUGCCAAGUUGACUUGUGACACCAACUUAAUCAACGACAUUAUCAAUACUAUAAAUUCUAUCACACGCGUAUAUAUGUGAAAAUCAUGUAUUUAGAACAUAGAUUUGUGUUUAAAUAUAACAUAUAAUAAAUAAUAAAAUAUAACGCAUGAAAUAUGUGUGAUAUGAAAAUAAAAAAUAGAUUAAAUUGUAAGUAAAACGAAAUUUAAACACAUGAAUAUAUCAUAUUAAGAUUACUAAAUGAAUACAAUUAUUUAUCAUUGCAUUGUCAUCAAUUCUAAGUUGGUGUCGAGUUAAUUUGUGGCACCAUCUCAAUCAACAACAUUAGUAUAAUACAAGAAGCUAUAUCACACACAUCAAUAUAUAUACAAUUAAUGGAUGUAAUAAAAUAUGCAUAAUAUAAUUAAAAUGUAAAUAUUUUUAUAAUAAAAAUAAUGUUUUAUUGAUGACAAUAACAUCGGUUUAAAUUCAAUUACAUAUAAUUUUUAUUAAUUUUUUAUUAAAUAAAAAGAUCAAUAUACCUUUAAAUAAGAUAAUUUGUUUUAAUUAUAAAAAUAUAUUUUCGUAAUUUCGUAAUAUUAAAUCAGUAUAAAUUAUGUAUAAUUUACAAAUAAAAAUUAUCGUUGUGCAAUGUUUAAAAAAUGGUUAAAAAUAAUUAAUGCCAUCAAUUCUAAUUUUGAAUAUGAAAUUAAUUAGUGCCGUCACAUAAAUACAUCCCAAUUGUUUUUCCAAAACAGUCUCAGCAUACCUCAAAGGAGAUAUUUCUAAUAAGAGUACGUGACUUUAAUAUUUUUUAUUUUAAAAAAUUAAAUUUAAUAUAAUCAAAGAUGAAAAUGUUGAAAUAAUAUAUUCUUAUUUUAAAAGCUAUGAGCUAUGGUGUUGAAACAAAAAUCGGUUACGUACAUGUUUCUUUCAAGUCGGUUAUUAUGUAGUAAUUAGUAAAUGAGAAAUUGCCUAUUCAUGCAAUUCUCUUAUUAUACUCCACUCAUAUCUGAGACUGGAACUUGCUUAUUCAUGCAAAUCUCUUAUCAUACACUAUCACUCCUUUGAUUAUUUAUUUAAUAAUACCAGAAUAAAAAACUUAUUUCUUAUAAUAGUUACAUAAUUGGUAUAAAUUUAAAUCGAAAAGUAAAAGAAUGAAUAAAAACUCUUUGUAAAAUAAAUAAAUCAUAUGAAUAGCUGAAAAUAAUUGUCGAAACUAUUUUUUGAAUAAUAUAAAAAAACUGGGAUCGACUUUUAAAAAGGGAAAUGGGAGUCGCCAUCGAUCUUUUAUUAAGGUGUGAUCGGUUCACCAUUAAAAAUAAAUUUUAGGUCUACGAGAUUUAAGAAAAUAGGUCCAGGAGUCGGUUACGUACGAAGAAGGGUUAGCACCCUCGUAACGCCUAAAAUUGGUACUGAAUCGAUUGUUUAAUGUCUUAAUGUCGAAAUUUAUAAAAGAUUUUAAAAUAUGAUCCUUUAUCUUGAAUUUGAAUAAACCGCGGUGAAUAAUUAGAUGUACUCAUUUCGAAUAAAGUGCCACACUCAGUGAGUUAGGGUGCGACAAUUCAAUCAUCAAAAUUAAGCAUGUCUUUUUAAUUUUUAUAAUCCGUGUAUUUUGAGAAGGUCAUUUGGUUAUUUAAGUCUAACGAGAAAUCAAAAUCUAGUGAGUUAGGGUUCAAUUUCUCAAAAUUCCUAAACAUCAAACAUUGCCUUUAUUUUAAAAUCGGGAUAACAGAAUGUCACAUUCAGUAAGUUAGGAUCCAACAUUCUGAAAUCCUAGAUGCUUCGUUUUUAAAUUGUACUGUUUUAAUAAAAUAAGCACAUAGCGAUCUAAAUUCAUCGAGAAGAAUUGGAACCCAGUAAGUUAGGGUACAAUUCUCUUAAGAAAUAUAAACACUAGGUUUUUAUUGAAAUAGAAUGAUUGUUGUGCUUUAAAAUAAAACAAUUCUUACAAACGAAUUAUGAUAGAAGAGCGAAACAUAAUGCAAGAGAUAAAUAGCAGCUUAAACUUACACUAAGGAACAAUUAAGCAAGUAAUAGGCAAAUACAAACAAGACUAACACCAACAAUCUUAAUCAUUUUAUGCAAAUAUCAAAAUCAAUAUUCGAAAGCUAAAUAAAUUUAUUACCAAAAAAAAAAUUUAAAAGAUACUUCAAGAUAAAAAGAUCCUAUGUAUAAAAGUUCUAAAAUAUAUUACGUGUCCAAGUUCAGAAUAGAUUUGAAAUAAAAUAACCAUUGAAUAAUUGAAUUUGAAAUAUAUUCGAAGCGAAUUUCAUACAUAUAUUAAUUUAAUAAAAGCAAUACAUAUAAGAUAAAAACAUUACAGUAAUAAUACAUAUAUACAUAAAUAUUGAAGUAUAUAAAGGAUUCAAAGUGAAUUUUUUUCUUUUUAAAAAUAAAAUCAAUUUCAAAUGAACACAUAAGCACAUCAAUAACAUUUUAAUAGGCAUAAUAAGAUCAGAAUAAUGAUAUACCCAAGAAAAGAAUAAUUUAAUAAGUCAUACAUAAGAAUACUAGCAUUAAGAAAAAAUGUUAUCAUGUAAACAUCAAACAUGUAGUCCAUAUAUAAAAAAGGGUGAAUUUUAAGAUAUAAUAUGAAAUAAAACAUUAAGAUACAUACAAGUUAUAUCAAAUUUUCAUUAUAUAUAUAUAUAUAUAUUAACAAAUGAUGAAUUAAAUAAUAAGAUGUUACAUUUGAAAACAAAAGUUUAUAAUGAAUUUCUAAAAAAUAAUGUCUAAUAAAUUUAAAAUAAUAUUAAUUUGAAAUAUUAAAAUGAUACUAAAAAAUAAACUACGUCAAAAUAAAACUAAUUUGAUUUUAAAUUAAGUUAAUAAAAGCUUAGUCGAAAUUGAAAUGAAAUAAAAUAAAAACGAAAUAAAAGAAAAUAAUGGAACAAAAAUUACAUUGAAAUUAAAACAAAAUUUAAUUGGUAGCAAACAUAAAUAAAAGUAAAAGGAAGAUAAAAUUUGUACUGGAUUAAAAACCGAGGGACUAAAACUGCAAAUAAACGCAUAAGUGCAAGGAUUCAAAUCUGAUUGAUAAAACGACGUCGUUUGUCUUUGGAUCGAAAUGAAAAUAAAAUAAAAUGUGUGGUACGAUUUUAAAACCUGAAGGAGAAACGAUUUGAAAUAAAAUCUAAUGCGAAGGGACUUAUUGCGAAUAAACCCAUGAACAGAAGCACGCGGAUCCUACCCCGGGUCGGGUCACCGCGCGGGUUGCAAGCCUCUAAACGGCGUCGUUUAUAACAUUAAAAUCAGCAGAUGUUUUGAUCGUUUUUAACAAAAAAAUUAAAGACCUUAAUGCUUCUUAGAGCCGCUCCGUCCUUCUGUAUCCCCGUCCGAUCUUCGACGAUGACGAAGUGGACAAGGAUUCGGCGCCGCGACAAAGGUAAUAACCUUUAACUCUUCUUCUUCUCAAAUCUGAUUUUUUCUUUUCUUGAUUUUUUCUGUAUUUCAGUGUGCGUAUAUGGAAAAGAGAGCAAGAACAGAACGAGAAAAGAAAAGACUCGAAAAUCACCUCUAAAGGCUCAGUCUUUUUUUGAUUUUUGUAUUGAUAUUAUGCGCAGUACAAUAUGCGUCCUUACAAAUAUUUCGUAAUGGCUUUAUAUAGCCAAAAAGGAAAAAUAAAAAUCCCUCUUUUGUUUUUUUUUUUCUCUCUGCUAUUACGAUUUUGAUUCGCUCCCCUCCUCUCUACUGCGUUUUUUUCCGUGUGUAUUUUCUGCUGUCUCUGCUUUUGUUCGUUUGUUUGUCCUUUGCAGGUACGGCGUGCAGGACUGGUGUGUACGGAGGCGUGUGGCGUGGCUCGGCUCGGAGGCGGCUGAGGCGUGUGAAGGCUCGUGGGGCCAAGGGAAGGCUGGAGGCGCGCUUGUGGGGUGUUGGCGGCGGCUUGGUUUCCAGAGACCUUAGGGUUUCUGUUCUUGGUUUUGGGCUUAGGAGAUUUGGGCCAGGGUUAGGUGUUUUUGGACUGACGUUUAGUGGGCUUGGGUCAAUGGGUUUGGGUUGUAACCGGGCUUAGGGUUGUAUUUUGGGUUAGGGUAGAGUUGGGUAAUUUAAAUGGGCUAUAAUAAUUUUGUUUUGGGUUGAAUUUGUAAAGAAACUGGACAUUUAUUAUUAUUUAUUUUAUAUAUAUAUUAUUUAUUUUGGUUAAUACUUGGGCUCAGGCCGGGCAAAUUUGGGAUUUUACAAUAAUUAAUACUCUUUAUCAACGAAGUUUGUAAUCCUAACGAAAACAAACAAGAAAAAAUUAAAACAAAAGCACAAGUGUGUUGCAAAAUCAUUGAUGUUCCAUGACAGAUAUUCAAAUGCAAAUUUAAUUAGUUCCUCCGUACAAAGGUCGCCAACCUAAUCACCGUGAAAGCAUUAAGUUUGAUUGUACAGGUGGCAACUAGGCCAAUUAUAUUUUGUUUGAUACUUUUAGGUUGGUUUGGAUUAUUUUUUUCUUCGAUUCAUUAUUUGUUUAUAUUAAAUGCUAUCUCCAAGGCUCAACACUACUACCACCUUCAUUGUCAAAGAAAGAUGUAAUUGCUUGUAAUUAUAAGUGUAACAUGUUUGGGUAAUUAUUGUAAUUGGGGGAUCCCAUUUAAUUGGUUGUAAUUAGAGCGCCCAAUUACAUUUUCCAAUUCCAAGAGAGAGGGUGAGAAUUAAAGUAAUUAUGCAUAUACUUUCAACCUAAUUCAUUUAAAAAAAAACUGAUACAAUAUCUAAAAUUAUCAAUAACUCUUCGUCAACUCAAUUAAAAUAUUAAAAUAUUAAAAUCAUAAUAUCCCUAACUCAACUGAUGCCCGAUUGACGUGUAACACCAACUCAAAUAGAAAUUUAUUAUAUAUAUAAGUAAAACUAACCAAAGGUUAGUAUAAAUCAUUGCAACAAACAACCUUUCACAUCUCAAUAACACCAUAAAACAUAAAAUACAAAUACUUAAUAAUCUUUUGAAAGCAUCAAAACAUCGUAAUAAACUUACACCAAAAAAAAUUCUCACAAAUUGUGAAAUGAGACAAUGGUGUGGUCCACUAUUAAUUAGUAGUUAAAACUGUACUUAUAUAAUUCAGAAGACCAUAAGAUAUGAUAUGAUGUGAUAUAUAGAGAGAGAGGAGGGGCUGACAAAUGUCUAGGAUUUCAAAUGAGUAGGGACCUUUAGAGGCUGAAAUCCAUGCUUGAGAGUUGCUUCCCAAACUUUUUCAAUGUUUGACGUGGUGUAACCACAUUCAUGUUCCUCCCAUCCUGCCAGUGCAUGUACUAACCCAGCUAUGCGCCAUAUGCUCAUCACCCUCCUCGGCAACCAGUUCUGAACAAAGUAGAACCAAGCGAUGAAAGAAUGAGCAUCAAUAUCUACAAUGAGUUAAAUGGAGUAUGUAAAUGUUGAUGGCCAAACCUCGCAAGAAUCCACAUUCUCAAAGGCCAACGGAAUUUGCAUUGCCGGUGUGGUAUGAUAGAAGCAGUCUGUUCGCAACUUCUUUGGUGGGAAUUGCGAGAAGGGAAUAAAUAGAGUUCCUUUGCUUGCCUUCCUUUGUUCUACUUCACUCAAUCCAUCUCCAACUAACCAUGUCUGCAACAUAUAUAUUAUUCAUCAUCCAAUAUUAUAUUCAACCUAGUUUUCAUUAAGAAUAGGAUAGGCUUUGUACUUUGAAGUGAUAAUUGAGAACCGGCUUAGGUACCUUACAAGUGUAACUUUUUGAGAGAACCAAUUUACCCUCAGACUUGGUGCCAAGUAAUUUAUCAAGCUUUUCAUAUCCAUCCUCACGCAAUACAGAGACCUACGGUGAUACGUAAAUGAAAAUGAUAGAGAAAAAGUAGUUGGAGGUUUGGAAUUGGAGUUAUCUAAUUAAUAAUGCACGUACGUACUUGAAUGCGCUUUUGGCAUAGCGCAAAGGCAAGCGCACAAGCAACUUUAGUCAGCUUGCCUCUAAGGACUACUUGUGUAGUUCCCUUGGGUAUGCUAUUUAACACAACUGCAACUGCCAAGCUACUCCCAUCUACCAACUUCACUUUAAGCUGGGGAUGCUUUUGCAUGUGCACCCCACCAUACAUGUUCAGCUCUUCACCCUGAUCAUUUAUUUCAUCGUCAUGGUUUUUUUCUGUUAUAUAGAUAUCUAUAUAUGCUUAUGGGGGCAAAAUACUUGCCUGGUUCAUGAGGCCUAGACUCAACACUCUAGCACCUUUUUCCUCUGCCUCUAAUAUGUCUUCUUCAAUCAAGUUAUUGAUGGAUUGUUUUUGCGAUUUCGAGCGGUACUACAAAUGAAAUGAACCCAAUUGCAGCAGAGACUAGUUAUGAUGGAUUAAUGUCUUAAACAAGAAAUAAAAAGUCAUGUUGUUUGAUAUCUAUACCUGUAUGUUGUACUUGGGUAUAGCCCAGGUCUGUAGUAUGAUAUUAUGAAACCGAUUGCUUUCGACAACAAAAGUGGAACAAUAUAUCCAGGUAAGCAUCAUGGAACACAGUGUGACAGGCCAAAGGAGCCACAUGUGCCAAGUUGAUGGUGUGUAUGGUUUAGAGGCGAAAGAGGCAAAUCCAAGGCGGAGAUGAUAAAUAGACUCGGGUGUGGUUAGGUGCGUUAGAUGCACCACAUAGGGUGAUUCUUCUUCCUUCUCAGUGAUUUUUCAUAUAAGCUGUCACUAGAUUUGUCCAUUGUGCCAUAGAUGUAAUCAUAAAAUGGCAUAAACAACGAGUAAUUGGUUCUAAACUGUACGUGGUGCAG
RNAcentral lists this long non-coding RNA (26823 nucleotides) under Gossypium barbadense (sea-island cotton). Its description in RNAcentral is "long non-coding RNA (GBAR_LNC015427)". The stretch from base 5329 to 5415 matches the Rfam family "MIR7486 microRNA precursor family". Lineage: Eukaryota; Viridiplantae; Streptophyta; Magnoliopsida; Malvales; Malvaceae. The record is from RNAcentral.